RNA transcript from Zea mays, 1812 nucleotides. It is a transcript of the gene named putative magnesium transporter NIPA4, with no coding region annotated. Lineage: Eukaryota; Viridiplantae; Streptophyta; Magnoliopsida; Poales; Poaceae. The transcript is spliced from 9 exons. The record is from RefSeq and is marked provisional.
GUCCCUGCUUUGGGAAAAAGCAAGUAACUUGAGGACUGGGCUGCAAAAGGAAAAGGAGCCGAGGAAGCCCUCCCCUCUCGCCGCAGCCGCACCACCAGACCGACAACCGGCCGGCUUCCCUCGCCCCCGGCGAGGAGUGAAGACAAGCCGACAAGGCAAAACCAUCGCCUGUACGGUAUCCAACCGCCGUCCCGCCGCACAACCAAGGAUAGGGCGGGAGAGGGGGAUCUCGCUUUCGCUCCGCUGCCGCAUGCGCACCGCCCCUCCUCAUGACACCAACUAGGGCACCACCAGCCCCCUUCUCGUCGACCUCCGCGCGGUGACUCUGCUGAGCAUCAUACCCUUAUAGGGCCCGACCCAUGGAUGUAACUUCGACCGCUGCCGCCUCCGCCUCAGGCGGGGGUAGGUGGUACACGGGCAUGUCCGCGGAUAACAUCAAGGGCCUGGUGCUCGCGCUCUCCUCCAGCCUCUUCAUCGGCGCCAGCUUCAUUAUCAAGAAGAAGGGACUCAAGAAGGCCGCAUCCUCCGGCGUCAGAGCGGGGGUUGGUGGCUAUUCUUAUUUAUAUGAGCCUCUUUGGUGGGUUGGCAUGAUAACAAUGAUUGUUGGAGAAGUUGCAAAUUUCGCAGCUUAUGCAUUUGCACCGGCUAUUUUGGUCACUCCUCUCGGUGCUCUUAGCAUUAUUAUCAGCGCUGUGCUUGCACAUGUAAUGCUGCGGGAGAAGCUGCACAUAUUUGGAAUUCUUGGAUGCGCGCUAUGUGUUGUGGGAUCCACCACAAUUGUCCUUCAUGCUCCACCAGAGCGUGAAAUCGAGUCAGUGACAGAAGUGUGGGAUCUGGCUACGGAACCAGCCUUCAUGUGUUAUGCAGCAGUGGUAAUUGCUAUAGCUGCCAUACUUGUUUAUCGGUUUGUCCCACUUUAUGGGCAGACACAUGUCAUGGUCUACAUAGGUGUUUGCUCUCUCGUUGGUUCCAUCUCGGUCAUGAGCGUGAAAGCUCUUGGUAUAGCAUUGAAGCUGACCUUUUCAGGAACGAACCAGCUUAUUUACCCACAGACAUGGGCUUUUAGUCUGGUUGUCAUCUCAUGUAUCAUUACCCAAAUGAAUUACUUGAACAAGGCACUUGACACGUUUAAUACAGCAGUUGUGUCACCCAUUUAUUAUACCAUGUUCACAUCUUUAACUAUCUUGGCAAGUGUCAUCAUGUUCAAGGUAUGUGUCUCAAUUACUGUAGCUUAUCGUUUCAGCUUUCAUACUUUGGUUGUGAAAUUUGAGCAGGGCACUAAAUAGUGAUUGAGCCAGUGUUCCAAAUCCAAUUUCAAAUGGAGAUUUCCUUGGAUUGCAUUAGACUAAACUGUAAAAGAAGCAGUAUGAGCCUGAGCUUCAGCUUUCAGGACUGGGACAGGCAAAAUCCUACGCAAAUUGUGACUGAGAUGUGUGGCUUUGUUACGAUCCUUUCUGGAACUUUUCUUCUACAUAAAACAAAGGACAUGGCUGAUGGUGGGCUUUCGAUGUCAUCCUCCUUCCGUCUUCCUACAUCUUCUUCGGUGCGCUUCUCCAAACAAACAGAUGAAGAUGGUGAAGGAAUUCCUCUAAGAUCGUCCGAAUCAUUCCGGUCACCACAUUAACGCAUGUUUGCUAAUCAUUAAUUUGCACAGAGUUAGGGGUGGGUAUUAUAUAGAUAAUGCUAUCAGUGAGCUUGUACUAAGGGUACGAUGGAUGGACCCUCUUUUGCUUUGGCAGAAUUGUAUAUGUAUGCCCAACAUCUUGUGGAACUCCCAAUAUAUUUCUCUUGGCUGUCGUGUGUGAUAACUGA